AUGGGAGAGAUUCGGGUCAAGUUUUGGAAGGAAAAAGGUGAGGAAGUAGGAUGCGGACGUUCUAAAGGGAGGGAAAGAGCCACGUGUGUAGCAGCCAGCUGUGGGGCUGAACCAGCGCAGGCAUGCUCAUUAGAAAGCCAUGCAACCCUGUUCCUGCACAACUCACUUCGAGCCCUUCUUCCUGCUCUCUUGGCGCUGCUGCUGAGGGUCACGUGGCAGCUGCUCCACCAGGGCUCUAUGAAUGACCGCUUGCUCCCAGCUCUCAAGAUGCUUCCAGGCUCUUCCUUCCUGGUUGUGGAUGCAGAGCUGGAAACCGGAAAUUCCCUCUGUUGUAAGUCCCCUUCCCUAGGAGCUGUCCUCACCGGAGCUUGACAGAGCUGAGCUUGAGUUCUGAGAGCAAGGUAGUAUGACACUAAGACACUGAGAGAAGUGAAUUUCUUGUUACUUGCUCUUCCAUCUUUUCUGCACCUCAGCACUCAGUGGCCCUCAUUCUUGGUUUGUAUCCUGUAAGCAUAUGGGGUCUGAGACUGGGCCAUCUGCAGGGUGGCUUGCCUUUGGUGCCCACUUAUUACUCAACUCCCCUUUCCUCCCAGGCCUUUAGGUACAUCUGAAAAAGUAGCCUGCCCCCAGUGUCUCGUGGGCUGUAACUCCUGAGGGGAUGGGGUCUAUUUUCUAUCUCUUGGCUUUGUACUGACAGAGUUAGACCUAACUUCAGCUCCAUCAUUUAGUAGCAAAUUAGGUAUAACCUUGUGAAUGGAGAGUUCUUUACUUUGAAGGCUGUGGUUAGCUUCUGUUUUGAGACAGACUAUGUAUGUAGCCCAGCCUGGCCUUAAAGUCACAGUAAUCAAUCACCCUGCCUCAGCCUCCUGGGCACCAAGGUUACAGAAGUUAUGUCACCAUGCCUGGCUACCUACCACAAUAGUGUUUUGUCAUUAUUUUCUUUAAAGAUUUAGUUUAUCAUCACCCCAUGUCUCUCCAUGUGUAUGCCAUUCAUGUGGGUCCUCUGGAAGCCAGAGGAGGGUGUGGGAUCCUCUGGGGCUGGAGUUCCAGGUGGGUUCAGGUCACUCAAUGUGCAUACUGGGAACCAAACUCAGGCCCUCUAGAAGAGCAAGCUCUCUUGACUUCUGGGCCAUCUCUCCAGCCCUUUAGCAGUUUGUGUGGGAAACUGAUGAAACUUCGGUGGCAAGUUAGUCAGAUUAGCUGUCAGCAAGUGUGACGGUUUGCAUAUACUUUGUGCAGGGAGUGUCACUAUUAGAAGGUGUGGCCCUGUUGGAGUAGGUGUGUCACUGUGGGUGUGGCCUUUAAGACCCUCAUCCUAGCUGCCUGGAAGUGAGUAUUCUGCUAGCAGCCUUCAGAUGAAGAUGUUGAACUCUCAGCUCCUCCUUCACCAUGCCUGCCUGGAUGCUGCCAUGUUCCUGCCUUGAUGAUACUGGACUGAACCUCUGAACCUGUAAGCCAGCCCCAGUUAAAUGUUGUCCUUAUAAGACUUGCCUUGGUCAUGGUGUCUGUUCACAGCAGUAAAACCCUAAAACAAGAAACAGAUAGGAAUGAAGAAAAGAGACUUGGGCUCUCCAAAGGCUUGCCCUGUGGUCUUGUACAGAGCCUGUGUUAGAUUGUUAGCAGUCUCUGACUCACAGUGAGUUCUUUUUUUGGAUGCAACUGAAAUGGACUGUAACUUAAUCAUAAAGGAAUUUUCUAGAAAGGGGUGGACUGGUUCUUAGAGGCUGAAGAGCCAGAGGGAUGAGAUGAUUCUCUGCCUCAAAUUGGGGGAAAAGAAUCUCUCUAUUCCAAUGUGUUUUGUUACCCUUUCUCUUGAGAAUCCAGGUUGACAGGGACCCAAUGGCCUAAUUGGGAUCUAUGCAUUGUCAUCUUUCGUUUAAUAGUAUCCCCAGUAAGAAAAAUUAUGUUGUCAACCCAAAGUAAGACAUUCCUAGUAGGUGGCUAUUUCAUCCUUUCUUUCCCAGGGGAUGUUUACUGCUUGAGGAGAAAUCCAAAACAGGAGCUAAUGCAGUUUCCGUUUAAGAAAUGGCUGAAAGAACUAAGAAUAGAACCAAAGAAGAGAGGACUGGGUUAGUUUAGCAUGGCUGUCCUUAGAUACUAUAAGGCCUCUCUCACAGAAGCAAGAACAGUUUGUAUUCUGUUUAUCUAAAAGAAAAAAAAACUAAAGCCAAGAAAGGGACUAUCAAGUGAAACAGGCCGAGGUGGUACACAACAGUAAGAUGAGCCACAGACAAGGAGGCAGGAGGGUCAUGAGUUCAAGGCUAGCCUGAACUUACGGGGCUCAAUGGUUGAGAACACUGGCUGCUCUUGCAGAGGUCCCAGGUUCAGUUUGUAGCACCUACCCAGUAUCUCACAAGCACCUGUAAUUCUAGUUCCAGGGCACUGGACACCCACUUCUGGCCUCCGCAGACACCAAGCAUACACAUAGUACACAUACAUACAUGCAAGCACAUAUUUACACAUAACGUAAAUCUAAAUAAAUUGGAAGGGAAACGGUUUUCUUUGCA
Long non-coding RNA from Mus spicilegus (steppe mouse), 2507 nucleotides. The record is from Ensembl. NCBI's taxonomy places the organism in Eukaryota, Metazoa, Chordata, Mammalia, Rodentia, Muridae.